Molecule: small nucleolar RNA, 115 nt
Organism: Dermacentor silvarum
Lineage: Eukaryota; Metazoa; Arthropoda; Arachnida; Ixodida; Ixodidae
Product: small nucleolar RNA U13
Exons: 1
Source: RefSeq, a predicted model, not a curated record
AUCCUUUAACGGUUCUACUGGGGAGUGAUGAGUUGUGGGUUCGCACGCCUCAUGCGUGAUACGUGCCACGCCCUUUUAACCUUGUUACGACGACAGGCACGUAGCCCUUCUGACC